RNAcentral lists this long non-coding RNA (2549 nucleotides) under Homo sapiens (human). RNAcentral's name for it is "HSALNT0238845". The record is from RNAcentral. Lineage: Eukaryota; Metazoa; Chordata; Mammalia; Primates; Hominidae.
GUUCCAGCCUGCUGGAGAAAAAUAAAACAGAAAUCUCCUCCUCAUCCACCUUCUGUGAUGGCAGUACUCACAGCUCCUCCUCUUGGGCCCCCUGGCCUCUGAGAGCCACCCACACCCACCCUGCGCCCAGGCCCUGCACCCGAAGCUCCCCCGGUGAGGAACAUGGGCAUUCAACAGAAGAAAAAUACCAUUGAUUUUGGAAGCAGAGCUCAGGGGAGCUGGGCUGCACUCCCAGCUCUGCACAGAUCUCAGAUGGGAGCUGAAUCUCUCUGGGCUUGGGUUUCUUUCCCCGAAAAACAUGGACCACUCUAGGCUCCUGUGCUACUCCAUUUGACAUGACAGCAGCCCCAGCUUAAUAAGGCUGGCAUCCCAAGAGGACCAGCCUCUCAAACAGUGUCCUGGGCUCAGGCCCCUGAUGUACCCUCCUCUUGGAAAAAUAUCUGAUGGAGCAUCCCACUGUGAGUACUCCCCUACCUCAGAGUAGGAAAAACCCCUGAGGUCUCAUUUAUUGACUGCUUACUGGAGAUAAGGAAACUGGAACGACCUGUCCAAGAUCACAUAUAUAUCAGAGGCAGGAUUUGAACACAGGUAUUUUUAACUUCAAAGCCGAGGCACUUUAAUCAUCAUCCUUUCACAGGAGAGACAAUGCACAAAAGGCAAUAAAUAAAACUUCUUCCUAAAUCUGGAUGGAUUUUAUGCAAAGAGAAAAGUCAGAAUAGAAAGUGUUGACAAAAUACAAAAACAAAACAAAACGAAAAAGCAAAACAAACCCAAAACCAACGCGAGGCACUGAAGAGUGAAUAAAAGCAAGUAGGCCCUGGCUGGGAGUCAACACUUGGAAGAAGGGCAUGACAUAUGGCUCUUGUUGACCACAGAUAACUAAAGUUCACAGAAAUUGAGCCACUAACAAUGGGGGACUACUGUAUCAGAAGUUAAAGAGGGGUCAUCAAUACUGAUCCCAUGGAUAUUAAAAGGAUGAUAAAGGAAUAUCACGAACAACUGUUGCCAUAAAUUUGAUAACCUAGAUGAAAUAGGCCAAUUCCUUGAAAGAUAUAAACUACCAAAACUCACACAAGAAACAAUAAUCUUGAUAAGCCUAUAUCUAUUAAAGAAAUUGAGUCAAUAAUUGAUAACCUUCCAAAAAUGAAAGCACAAAACAACUAUAAAGCUGGAGGACUGACACCCCCUGACUCCAAGACUUACUACAAAGCCAUAGAAAUCAAGACAGCAUGGAACUGACAAAACAACAGACCCAUGGAUCAAUGGAACAGAAUGAAGAGCCCAGAAAUAGACCCACACCAAAGGAACAAAGCAAUUCAAUGGAGAAGGGAGAGCCUGUUCAACAAAUGAUGCUGGAACAACUGGAUGUGCACAUGCAAAAAAAAAAAAAAAAAAAAAAAAGGAAUCUACACACAAAUCUUGCUCCUACAAAUACUAACUGAAAAUGGAUCAUACAGCUAAAUGUACAAUGCAAAAAUUAUAAAACCUCUAGAAGCUAACUGUAUUUGUAUUCAUGCUGCUGAUAAAGAUAAAAACUGGGCAGUUUACAAAAGAAAGAGGUUUAAUUGGACUUACAGUUCCACAUGGCUGGGAAAGCCUCAGAAUCAUGGCAGAAGGCGAGGAGGAGCAAGUCACAAGUUACGUGGAUGGUGGCAGGCAAAGAGAGGGAGCUCGUGCAGGGGAAUUCCUCUUUUUAAAACCAUCAGAUCUCAUGAGACUUAUUCACUAUCAUGAGAACAGCAUGGGAAAGGCUUGCCGCCAUGAUUCAGGUACCUCUGACUGGGUCCCUCCCACAACACACGGGAAUUCAAUAUGAGAUUUGGGUGGGGACAGAGCCAAACCAUAUCAUUCUGCCCCAGGCCAUUCCCAAAUCUUGCAUCCUCACAUUUCAAAACCAAUCAUGCCUUCCCAACAGUCCCCCAAAGUCUUAACUCAUUUCAGCAUUAACUCAGAAGCCCACCAUCCAAAGUUCAUUGGAGACAAGUCCCUUCCACCUAUAAGCCUGUAAAAUCAAAAGCAAGUUAGUUACUUCCUAGAUACAAUGGGGGUACAGGUAUUGGGUAAAUACAGCCACUCCACAUGAAAGAAAUUGUCUAAAACAAAGGGGCUACAGGCCCCCAUAGAAGUCUGAAAUACAACAGGGCAGUCAAAUCUCAAAGCUCCAAAAUGAUCUCCUUUGACUCCAUGUCUCACAUCUGGGUCACACUGAUGCAAGAGGUGGGUUCCUAUGGUCUUGGGCAGUUCUGCUCCUGUGGCUUUGCAGGGUAUAGCCCCCCUCCUGUCUGCUUUCACGGGCUGGUGUUGAGUGUCUGUGGCUUUUCCAGGUGCACUGUGAAAGCUGUCAGUGGAUCUAUCAUUCUGGGGUCUGGAGGAUGGUAACUCUUUUCUCACAGCUCCACUAUGCAGUGCCCCAGUAGGGACUCUGUGUGGGGGCUCUGACUCCACAUUUCCCUCUGCACUGCCCUAGCAGAGGUUCUCCAUGAGGGCCCUGCCCUUACAAAUUUUUGCAUGGACAUCGAGGCAUUUCCAUACAUCCUCUGAAAUCUAGG